RNAcentral lists this long non-coding RNA (2770 nucleotides) under Capsicum annuum. Its description in RNAcentral is "long non-coding RNA (CANN_LNC005945)". Lineage: Eukaryota; Viridiplantae; Streptophyta; Magnoliopsida; Solanales; Solanaceae. The record is from RNAcentral.
AGCCCACCAAUCAUAUACAAUCAUUAAAAAUCAAAUCAAAUUAUUUAUAAUACAACCCACUAAACAUUUAAUAUACAAUCAACCAACCACCAUAAGAAUACAAACAUUAAAAAUCAAAUUAUUUACAAAACUUAUCGAGGUUCCAAAUCCAAACUAUAAAACAUAGAAAAUACAAAAACUACAACUCAUCAUCCGCAUCUUCAAUCUCAACAUCAACCAUUCUAUUAUCAAUAUUUCGUUGAUAUAUCCAGUUAUAAUCAGGUUCUAUCUACACAAUCAAAUCACAUUCAAGUAAUUAGUUCAAGUCACAAAAGCUCACAUUUCAAAUACUUACACCUAAACAUUUUCAAGUCACUAAUUCAAUUAACAAGUUACCAAACUAAACGAAAUUCAAAUGAAAAGUUCACGUUUCCAGUACCUACACUUAAACAUUUUGAAGUCACUAAUUCACUUCUAAAGUGACCACUGUCGCGCCCCGUUUUCCUCACGGAAGGCGGGAUUCAACGUGAUAGACUCUUUUUGGGAUGCGUUUAAAAGGGUGUGAAGAGUCGCCACCUAACAUAUUAAGGUGCGUUAGGGCACCGGUCUAGGAUACUACGAACCUAUUUUUUAUUAUUUAGUCUUAAUUCACCAAAGCUCGGGUAAGGGUUCAAAUUACCUCAAAAGAAAGGUGUUAGGCACCUUUAGAGGUCCACAAAGGUGGUUCUCGGCCGAAUUCAUGCUUUACAUGGGGAUUCUAUGUGAUCAAAUAAAGUCUCUUAUUUUUUCAUUAAUUUAAUGUUUAGCUAAGCGAUAAAAUAAUUAAUAAGCAAACACAUGUCAUUUUGUUAAUUCUAAUUGUUAAUUAUCUAGGUCAUAAAGACAAAUAAAACAUGUAAAUAAGACAGGCGAGGAAAAAGAAGGCAAGACAAUUUAUGAUAAAGGGGACUGCUCAUGUAAUAAACUAACUACCCCAAAUAAACAUAUAGUAAAUAAAAAGACUAGAAAGAAAUCGUCCAAGUCAAAGGAAUGGUUUGGUUUUAUUCGGAUCAGAAACCCAACUUGUUAAUCAUCAUCCGACCCAAGAGCCGAAACUUAAUAUGUCGAAAUCAAUUAACAUUCCUAAAUCAGGAUUUCUAGGCGGCCAAGUAAGUAAAUUAAUAGAUUUUAAGUCGCGUUUUGCCUAAGUGUUUCGUAUAGCACAUAAUACAUGUAAAAAUCCUAAAUUGCGCCUACUACGUCAUUCAUAGAGCACAUAAUCCCCGCCCCCAAAGAAGUCCCCAAAAUUAUAUUAUUACAUCGAUAAUAAUGUCUUUACACGAUACUACAAAUCAAAUAAUAAGAAAGUAUACUCAAGCUAAUGUAAUCUAAUUAUAUAACUAAUCUGGUGACUCUUCGAAACCCGUAGUUGUCUACUUAAACCAGUGAUUAGCAAUAAGAGAGAUAAAUAAUAAUAGAAGCCAAAAUCCAAGUAUACGUAAUAGCGAGAUAUGCAAGAUGUUAACAGCAGCCUCCAAAGAGAAACAAAAGCACUUAAAAAUAUUUAAUUGCCUUUGUACAAAAGUAGCCAAUGAUUUUUGUUAAGAGUAGUAGUAGUAAUUGUAAUUGUGAAACUUGAGAACUUUUCACUGUCCCUUUUUGUGAAUGAAGGGAUGGGUUUAUAUAGUGUUAAAGAAAUCAGUCAUCCGAGAUAAAAUAGAAAAAAAAUAUUCCCCUCCUCUAAUUACUAAGUCUUUCCCAUAAAUAAAUUGUUAUUAUACCAAAUCAAUUAAAGUAAAACAAGAAAGAGGGAAAAAAUCAAUUGACUAAUAUGCUCACCAUAAUAGAGGGAGUUUAAAAUAUGGUUAACGUAUAUUUAAUAAAGAAAAUUAGCAAAUAGACUCAAUCAAUUAUUUUCGGUUACCAUAAAUAAAUAAGUAAAAGAAAGGUAUUGAUUUUAAGAGAACAAAUAACCAAACAUGCAUCAACGUCGAUAUUUCCCAUAAUAGAAGAUAUCAAUCCCGUCAUAUCAGGUUCAUUCAAAUCAAGCAAAUAAUUUAUACCAUAACUUCAUGAUAUAAAGGAAAUCGGCCACAGAAAUUACCAAUGAGACACGUAAAUCCUACCCUAAUUACAGGGUGUGGAAAAUGGCCUUAAAAUCAUAUCGAAGUCAGUCCUAAAACUAUAUCAAGCAGAUGUAUAAAUCAUGCUAUAGUCAGGAAAAAAGAGAGUCAUUCACGAAGACGAUUUCCACUACAAUCAAUCAAGUAAAUAGGGUAGUGAACCUAGGAGGAGAAAUUUACUACAAGUCUAGCCACAAUUGGGAUUUAAACAGUUUGCCAAAGGCUUUCAUGCAUAUGGGUUUAAGAAAUUACUAGAACUAGUCCACAAAUUCGCGAAAUUUCAAACGUAAAAAAAUAGAUCAGAAGAUAAUAACAUGCAAAUAAAGAUGAGAUACCAAACCUCGGACAGAUUCUUAAGAAUCCGUCAAGAACAUGGAUUUUCUGGAGCUAGUAGAGGAGGCUGUUGAUGACGGUGUGAAGGCAUGGCCCUUCGAAGGACAGACUGGUGUCGUUAAUGUUGUCACUGGCGGCGCGAGGGGUCGAACGGAGGGAGGAAGAUCUGGCGCCGAUGGAGGAGGGGCGUGGCGCCAUGAAUGGCGUCGGAGUCCAUGGCUGGUGCGGCAUAGGCGUUCUCCGGCGGGUGGCGACUGAGAAAGAGGCGGUAACACACCUGUUUUGCUGGUGAUGACGCCGGUGAUGUCGUUGGUUCGCCGAAAAAAAAAGACGAAGGGUGAUGGCUGGCUGUCGAC